Molecule: ribosomal RNA, 497 nt
Filed under: uncultured Glomeraceae
Lineage: Eukaryota; Fungi; Glomeromycota; Glomeromycetes; Glomerales; Glomeraceae
Description: SSU rRNA
Rfam family: Eukaryotic small subunit ribosomal RNA
Source: RNAcentral
UUGGAGGGCAAGUCUGGUGCCAGCAGCUGCGGUAAUCCCAGCUCCAAUAGCGUAUAUUAAAGUUGUUGCAGUUAAAAAGCUCGUAGUUGAAUUUCGAGAUCAAUUUGUUGGUCGUGCCUCGGUACGUACUGGCAAUUUUGAUUUCUCCCUUCUGAAGAACCAUGAUGUCAUUAAUUUGGUGUCAUGGGGAAUCAGGACUGUUACUUUGAAUAAAUUAGAGUGUUUAAAGCAGGCUCGCGCUUGAAUACAUUAGCAUGGAAUAAUGAAAUAGGACGUUUGAUUCUAUUUUGUUGGUUUCUAGGAUCGACGUAAUGAUUAAUAGGGAUAGUUGGGGGCAUUAGUAUUCAAUUGUCAGAGGUGAAAUUCUUGGAUUUAUUGAAGACUAACUACUGCGAAAGCAUUUGCCAAGGAUGUUUUCAUUAAUCAAGAACGAAAGUUAGGGGAUCGAGGACAAUCAGAUACCGUCGUAGUCUUAACCAUAAACUAUGCCGACUAGU